GUGAAGUUAUGGGCCUAUGAUAUCCUGACAGGAUAUCACAAGCAAAGCAUAAGGAUAUCUUCAAUAUUAGACAACUUCAGUAUAUCAAAAUGAUUAGUCUGGCUAGUUAGCUCAUUGAGAAUGUUAACUGGCUACAUUAGGGUUAGGCUGGUCGUGUGGCGUAAUCAGUUUUAUUGUGAAAGGUUUAACAGGAAGUGAACGUCGGGUGAGCCGGCAGCUAAAGAGAGAAAUGGUUCGCGGGGAUUUUGAAAGUACCAGUGUGAGUUGCUCUACAACAAGAAGAUGUCUGACGAAAAAGCGGGAGCUAGCGCAACAGCUACACAGCCUCGCACGCCACCACCCCAGCAACAAGCAAACACCGGGGGACAGGGGAAGAGGCCGUACGGCUACGAGAUUAGCUAAGCUAAGCUAGCGAGACAGUAAAGACACGUGGCAUCACAUUGGAUCCACUGGUGCAGCUGAUCUGAUCGACUAAAGCUCUGUGGUUUAGAUGAGGUGUGGGCAGCCCCUCACCAGAUGUGCCAGCAGCUCUUACAAAGGAUGGGGAUGCAGACUUCCUUGUGUUUGCCUUGUCACCUCCCUUCAGUGAGGAAGCCCCAAUCAGAAGACACCGAGAGAUGCGUGUUGUCAAUUUUCUUCAGGGUUUCUUGCAUAAGUUGGAAGAUGAUGAUAAAAGCACAUAAAUAUCCACCUUCUCUGGAAGUACAGGAGUCAGGGUCUGAGAAUGUAAGUAGGACCCUGCAGGCAGCAGCAUCAUACCAGCUGGUGAGUCUGUAGGAGGAGAUGGAGUGGUGUUCUCUCUCUGACUCUGCUGCACAGGUGCGAAAAGUGUCGCCAGCUGCUCUGAGUGAAACAAUCCCCUGUCUGUGAUAUGAGGAAACUCCUUGAAUCCCAUAACCAGGUCAUGGUAUGGCCAGAGGACUAGAUUGUUCAUGGAGUCCAAAUGGCUGCUGUUUAAAGGACAGUUCCUCAAGUUUGUGAUGAGCAUCUGACGUACGCUGACUGGACUCACCGGCUCAGCUACGAGAAAAAAAUAAAUAAGAGGGAUGCAGACUUUCUCUUGACUGUUAGAGAUGGGUGUCAUCAGUUUUCGUCAGGAUUUCUAUCAGAAGUUGGAAGAAGAUGGUAAAAGCACAUAAAUAUCCAGCUUCUCUGGAAGUACCGGAGUCAGGAUCUGAGAAUGGCGGUGUGAUGCUGCAGGCAGCACCAUCAUACCAGCUGGUGUGGUAUUUUAAUGAGGAAAAUUCUUUUCGGUGGUGUCUCUUCUUAUUUCUCCUUUUCUUCUCACUUUUAAAAACAAAAGGCAGAAAAGCAACAAUAACAGUUAAAACCUCAAGAUGUUUUCUAACAUUUUGUGACAUCAUUUUAGAGACAACCUUAAACAUGACGUACUACUUACAACUUUGUUGAUUCUUGCUGAUGUCUGAGAUGCAGCAGAGGAUAAUGUACACUUGGCACUGUCUUUAUUGAUCCUUAGUACACUUUGCAUAGAUUUACAGUUGGCUCUAUAAUAUAUGCCCCUGGUUCAACAUCCAGUCCAUAGCCAUGCCAUAUGUCCAACACAGUUCACAGAAGCAGUGCCAAAGUCUUAAAACUAUAAAAGUAAAAAAAAACUUCUCUGAGAAAGGCUUCACAGUCUGAAGCGCUUCCUUGGUGGAGUGGUGCUCCUGUUGCUGCUCUCUUCCUCUGUAGCCUUUCUCUUUGCACCCUGUGCAAACGUCCUCAGAAACCAGCAGAACACCGACAUGAUAACUCCGCCCUCUGAGCUGUAGUCCGUAACUCUCCAGCGGUUUGUCAUUUCACUGAUGACUGAUGAUGGUGAGGCCGCUGACAUCCAGGGUGUGGACACAGUUCCUCAGGUCUGCCUUCAGCACAAAAAUAUCUGCCUUGUCUGGAAGUACUGGAGUCAGGAUCUGAGAAUGGAGGCGUGACGCUGCAGGCAGCACCAUCAAACCAGCUGGUGAGUCUGUAGGAGUCUCUGCAGCACGGUUCUAAAAGGUGUCAUCAGCUGCUCUGAGUAAAACAAUCCUCUGACUGCGAUAUGAGGAAACUAAUUGGAUCCCGUAGCCAGGUCGUGGUAUAGUGAGAGGACUAGAUCUUUCAUGGAGUCCAAAUGGCUGGGGCUCAAAGAAACGGUUCCUCAAGUUUGUGAUGAGCAUCUGACGUACACUGACUGGACUCACCAGCUCAGCUACGAGAAAAUGAAAUGGUCAUCUGUGUUAAUCAUGACGUAAUCAGACAAAUUAAGGAUUUAUAUCAUCAUAUGCCAUUUCCACACACAGGCAGUCGUUAGCCUCACUGCAGAAGUCAUUGUUUUUGAAAGCCUAAAGAUUGGUAGAAGGCGAGAGAAAUGAUUUUGCACGUAAUGCGUACAAGAUCAAAUUUGGUCACAUCUCUGAGGACUCCCUAACCCUAACCUCCCCCAAAACCAAGCUAGGUAUCAUUCCCCCCCCCCCCCCCCAGCUUUGUAGCAUUUUGGACUCUCCUGGACUUUCAAUGUUAACUCGACCACCUGACACUACUGACUCAUCAAUUUUAUAAGGCCAGUCUAAGGUGUAAUUGUUUGCUUAAAUAUUCUGUUAUACUUAUUAGCUAAGCUUUACCACAGUGGUCAUCAAGUAUACGGGUGACGCCAAGGGACAGCAGGUACUGCUCAUGCCGUAAUCCACGGGUAGCCAUUUUUGGGUGGUUGAAUUGUUGUAUUCUUCAAGUUUUUAAAACUUUGGAAGUCGUUCGUUAAAUGUAGAGUUUUCACAGCGCUAUUACACAAACCUCCUGCUAGCACUCUCAUGUGAAAACCAAAUUCGAUUGUUGGCUUCUGCUUCUAUACCUGCCGCUCAACACGUCAUCCUCAUCACCUUGACUGUCCAUUAUUAUUUUAUGUUUAUCUAUAAAUUUGUUGAGUCUAUUAAUGAAAACUUUUUCCAGUAUUUUUGAAAAUUGAUAGUAGAGAAACAGGCCUGUAAUUUGUGAAUUGGUGUCUCUCCAUUCUUAAACAGUGGUAUUACUUUGGCUGUUUUCAUUUGUGUUGGGAAUGCACCAGUUUGUAGAGACAAAUGUGUGUAAAGGGUUUGGAGAUGUCAUCGAUAACUUUAACAAUUUCCAUAUUGAUGUCAUCAAAGUCUGUAGAAGUUUGUGUUUGUGAUUUCCCAACAAUAUCAAUGAUUUCCUUUUCUUUUACCACCUUUAAAAACAUUGAAUGAGGAUUGCGUUCAAUGAGUUUUGUUUCUUUCUCUGCACAAUUUCUUAUAUCAGGAAUUCUAUCAGCCAAGUCUGACCAAACAUUACAAAUAAUUUAUUGAACUCAUUAACCACAUCACUCAUGUUAAUAUUUCUAUCAUUAUUAGUGAAAUAUGAAGGACGAUUUAACUGCCUAAAACUAUUUUUAAUAAUGCUAUUAAAUGUUUUCCAAAUACCUUUAAUGUUAGUUUAAUUCAUAUUUAGUAAUUUCAUAAUAUUCCUUUUUACAUGACCUCAAAGUACUAGUUAAUUUAUUUAUUUUUUUAAUAUAUUUCUUGUAUUUAUUUUCAGCUUCUCUACUUCUGUACUUUAUAAGUUCUCUAUAUAAGGUUUUUUUCUUUUUACAUGCAUUUUGUAAUCCUUUUGUGAUCCAUGGGCACGCUGCAUAUUUUUCUUUUUUCCCCCCAUAUUUCUUUAUUGGGCAAUGGUUAUAUAACAGUUUAAAUUUUCCUAUAAAAGUUUCACAAGCUUUAUCAAUAUUUUUUUUCUGUAUACAACAUCUCCCAUGCUUGCUUAAGUAAAUAACUUGUAAAUGCA
Oreochromis niloticus (Nile tilapia) is the source of this 3777-nucleotide long non-coding RNA. RefSeq lists it as uncharacterized. Lineage: Eukaryota; Metazoa; Chordata; Actinopteri; Cichliformes; Cichlidae. The transcript has 3 exons. The record is from RefSeq and is a predicted model, not a curated record.